AGUGGGAAAAUCGCAAGGAAGCCGGCGCUGCUCUGAAGGGAGAGUCUGUGCAGUGGCACCUGCGCGAAGCUGGCGAAAGCCUGCCCAGACUGCUCACCUGUGCGGGAUGGAACAAAAGGUGAGCCCAGGGGGCCUGAUAAAAUGACCUCAGUAGCCGCCUGUGGGAAGGGACCCUGAGGAAAGCACCACAGUGACUACCAAGCCUGGAUGGUUUUACUGCUUACUUUGUUAUUUUAUUUUAUUUAUUUUAGAGACGGAGUCUUGCUCUAUCACCCA
RNAcentral lists this small RNA (276 nucleotides) under Pan troglodytes (chimpanzee). Its description in RNAcentral is "processed transcript". The record is from RNAcentral. Lineage: Eukaryota; Metazoa; Chordata; Mammalia; Primates; Hominidae.